GGGAAUUCAGCGGGACAUCUGGACAAAAGAAAAACGGCCUUCCCACGAUUGAAAUAAAGAACACUACGUUGACAUCGUAGAGGUCGUUGGUUCGAGUCCAAUACCGCCCA
Molecule: transfer RNA, 110 nt
Filed under: Anaerolineae bacterium
Lineage: Bacteria; Bacillati; Chloroflexota; Anaerolineae
Description: tRNA-Val
Source: RNAcentral